GCCCCGGGGCUCGUGAUAUCUCAUCUCGCCGCCCGUCGCGAGGCGGACGGAGGGAUGGAUGAGGUUACCUGGAAAAAUCGGGGCGAUCUAGGCGGGCGAACCUCGCCAACGAACGAUCGGACAUGGGAUAACGGAAGAGGGCGUCGGCUCGACUUCGUCGGUUCCUCGGGCCGAGGCACGUACGGUGAAUAGGGACGGUCGGGGCCGCCCGUACCGGGUCGUGAGAGGUGAAAUUCUAGGAUCGACCCGAGACGAACCGCCGCGAAAGCAUUCGGCAAGGACGCUUUCAUUAAUCAAGAACGAAAGUCGGGGGAUCGAAGACGAUCAGAUACCGUCGUAGUCCCGACCGUAAACGAUGCCGACCGAGGGCCCGGAGGAGUUACGUACGACCCUCCGGGCCCUCCCGCGAGAAAUCAGGAGUAUUCGGGUUCCGGGGGGAGUAUGGUCGCAAGGCCGAACUUAAAGGAAUUGACGGAAG
RNAcentral lists this ribosomal RNA (478 nucleotides) under uncultured eukaryote. Its description in RNAcentral is "bacterial SSU rRNA". It matches the Rfam family "Eukaryotic small subunit ribosomal RNA", at positions 688 to 1162 of the family's 1831-position model. The record is from RNAcentral.